Molecule: ribosomal RNA, 253 nt
Filed under: uncultured bacterium
Lineage: Bacteria
Description: partial 16S ribosomal RNA
Rfam family: Bacterial small subunit ribosomal RNA
Source: RNAcentral
UACGUAGGGUGCUAGCGUUGCUCGGAAUCACUGGGCGUAAAGCGCACGUAGGCGGGUUGCUAAGUCAGGGGUGAAAUCCUGGAGCUCAACUCCAGAACUGCCUUUGAUACUGGCGGCCUUGAGUCCGGGAGAGGUGAGUGGAACUGCGAGUGUAGAGGUGAAAUUCGUAGAUAUUCGCAAGAACACCAGUGGCGAAGGCGGCUCACUGGCCCGGUACUGACGCUGAGGUGCGAAAGCGUGGGGAGCAAACAGG